Molecule: ribosomal RNA, 497 nt
Filed under: uncultured Glomeromycotina
Lineage: Eukaryota; Fungi; Glomeromycota
Description: partial small subunit ribosomal RNA
Rfam family: Eukaryotic small subunit ribosomal RNA
Source: RNAcentral
CCAAUAGCGUAUAUUAAAGUUGUUGCAGUUAAAAAGCUCGUAGUUGAAUUUUAGGCCUGGCCGGGCGGUCCGUCUUUGGCGAGUACUGUCCUGUGUCGGGUCCACCUUCUGGUGAACCAGUAUGUCCUUUAUUGGGUGUGCCGGGGAGCCAGGACCAUUACCUUGAAAAAAUUAGAGUGUUUAAAGCGGGCAUUUGCUUGAAUAGAUUAGCAUGGAAUAAUAGAAUAGGACGUUGUGGUUCUAUUUUGUUGGUUUCUAGGACCACCGUAAUGAUUAAUAGGGAUAGUUGGGGGCAUUAGUAUUCAAUUGUCAGAGGUGAAAUUCUUGGAUUUAUUGAAGACUAACUACUGCGAAAGCAUUUGCCAAGGAUGUUUUCAUUAAUCAAGAACGAAAGUUAGGGGAUCGAAGACGAUCAGAUACCGUCGUAGUCUUAACCAUAAACUAUGCCGACUAGGAAUCGGGCGACGUUAUUUUCAUGACUCGCUCGGCGCCUUAUG